This 496-nucleotide ribosomal RNA is filed under the name uncultured bacterium. RNAcentral describes it as "partial 16S ribosomal RNA". It matches the Rfam family "Bacterial small subunit ribosomal RNA", at positions 28 to 506 of the family's 1533-position model. The record is from RNAcentral.
GAUGAACGCUGGCGGCGUGCCUAAUACAUGCAAGUCGAGCGAACAGACGAGGAGCUUGCUCCUCUGACGUUAGCGGCGGACGGGUGAGUAACACGUGGAUAACCUACCUAUAAGACUGGGAUAACUUCGGGAAACCGGAGCUAAUACCGGAUAAUAUAUUGAACCGCAUGGUUCAAUAGUGAAAGACGGUUUUGCUGUCACUUAUAGAUGGAUGCGCGCCGCAUUAGCUAGUUGGUAAGGUAACGGCUUACCAAGGCAACGAUGCGUAGCCGACCUGGGAGGGGGAUCGGCCACCUGGGAAUGGGGAACCGGCCAAGCUCCUUAGGGGAGGAAGAGGGAGGGAAUCUGCAGAAAGGGGCGAAAGCCGGUCGGGGCAAGGCGGGGGGGGGGAUGAAGGCCUUCGGAUCGUAAACCCUUGUUGUGGGGGCAGAACAAAUGUGUAAGUAACCAUGCACGUCUGGACGGUACCGAAGCAGAAAGCCACGCCUAACUACGU